This is a long non-coding RNA of Electrophorus electricus (electric eel), 692 nucleotides long. RefSeq lists it as uncharacterized. The record is from RefSeq and is a predicted model, not a curated record. Lineage: Eukaryota; Metazoa; Chordata; Actinopteri; Gymnotiformes; Gymnotidae.
CUGAUAUUUGCUGAACCCCUUUGGACUUUAGAGAUAUUGCAGUUGGGGGUGCAGUAUGAAUCCUUACUGUCCACAACAACCAGGUGCAUGGGGAAAUCCUUGCAACAACAUGACCUACCCAGACCAACCAGGUGCAUAUGUGUGUCCACCAGUGGGCCUACAGCCUAUUCAAGGAUUGACUGGAAUAGGAGGUCCAAUCUUCCAUAAUAACCAUCAUGGUCAUGGUCACUGGCAUGGUCAUGGGCAUGAACAUGGGCACCAUGGGCACCACGGGCACCACGGGCAUGGAUUGUUUCACCACCACCACCACCACCACCACGGGCAUGGAAACCAUUUCUAGAAGAAGUCACAACUGAGCAAGCGUUUUGAAGGAAACUCCCAUCAUGAUUCAGAAUAGAUAAAGACAUUCCACACAUGAAGUCCACACAUAAUGAAUUGCAAGUUAAAGUGUGUUACCAUUAACUUGGAUUUUUUUUUCUCAUGAAAGCUCUAUUUAUUUUAUGUAAACUCUAUGUAGACCUAGAUUGCAUGCAUAAUUAUUAGAUCCCUUAUGAAAGAUUACUAACACAGCAGUUAAUAAUAGAGAUUAUUAACUGUCAUGUUUAACUAUGAUAACUAUAUAGAGGGCAUGCCUGUUUUUAUUUUAUUUUGAUUAUUAUAAAUAUUUCUUUCAUGUAAACAUCACUAGUGAA